UACAGAGGGUGCAAGCGUUGUUCGGAAUUAUUGGGCGUAAAGCGCGUGUAGGCGGCUUGGCAAGUCAGAUGUGAAAGCCCUCGGCUUAACCGAGGAAGUGCGUCUGAAACUGCUGAGCUUGAGUCUCGGAGAGGAUGGCGGAAUUCCGCAAGUAGAGGUGAAAUGCGUAGAGAUCCGGAGGAACACCAGUGGCGAAGGCGACACGCUGGGCCGUACCUGACACUGAUGCGCGACAGCAUGGGGAGCAAACAGG
This 253-nucleotide ribosomal RNA is filed under the name uncultured bacterium. RNAcentral describes it as "partial 16S ribosomal RNA". It matches the Rfam family "Bacterial small subunit ribosomal RNA", at positions 524 to 776 of the family's 1533-position model. The record is from RNAcentral.